AGCAGCCGCGGUAAUUCCAGCUCCAAUAGCGUAUAUUAAAGUUGUUGCAGUUAAAAAGCUCGUAGUUGAAUUUCGGGAUCAAUAUGUCGGUCGUGCUUUUUGGUACGUACUGGCGUCAUUGGUUUCUCCUUUCUGACGAACCAUGAUGUCAUUAAUUUGGUGUUAUGGGGAAUUAGGACUGUUACUUUGAAAAAAUUAGAGUGUUUAAAGCAGGCUCACGCUUGAAUACAUUAGCAUGGAAUAAUGAAAUAGGACGUAUGAUCCUAUUUUGUUGGUUUCUAGGAUUGACGUAAUGAUUAAUAGGGAUAGUUGGGGGCAUUAGUAUUCAAUUGUCAGAGGUGAAAUUCUUGGAUUUAUUGAAGACUAACUACUGCGAAAGCAUUUGCCAAGGAUGUUUUCAUUAAUCAAGAACGAAAGUUAGGGGAUCGAAGACGAUCAGAUACCGUCGUAGUCUUAACCAUAAACUAUGCCGACUAGGGAUCGGAUGAUGUUAAUUUUUUAAUGACUCAUUCGGCGCCUU
Molecule: ribosomal RNA, 520 nt
Filed under: uncultured Glomus
Lineage: Eukaryota; Fungi; Glomeromycota; Glomeromycetes; Glomerales; Glomeraceae
Description: SSU rRNA
Rfam family: Eukaryotic small subunit ribosomal RNA
Source: RNAcentral